This is a long non-coding RNA of Misgurnus anguillicaudatus (oriental weatherfish), 851 nucleotides long. RefSeq lists it as uncharacterized. Lineage: Eukaryota; Metazoa; Chordata; Actinopteri; Cypriniformes; Cobitidae. The record is from RefSeq and is a predicted model, not a curated record.
AGGACGCUUGCCAUGCAUUCCCAACUUGCAUCCGAAGUUUACUUCCCAGAACUCGGCGAACCAAGCGUUCCGUCGGUUGUUGGACAAAGAGCGACUUUUGAAAUAUCUGUCAAAGGCUGAAAAACAGUGAACACAGCAUUGGGACGGUACAUUACUAUGCUCUUUUUGGAAGGAUGGUUAUAGCGCCUUCUGCCACACUUUCUUGCUGAACGACAGGAGAUAUCUUUGAGCCCCAGCUGUCUGAUCCCACCCACAAGAAGUGACCUGUUUGGUUGUUGCGCUUCGCAGCAUCCAGGACACGUCUGAAAGACCAUCAAACAAAACAUGGACCUCUAACAUUGCUGUCAAGACAACCGACUCUGUUUUUCAUGAAAGAUUUUACUCUAUCAAACUCUGACAGAAGCUGAAGUGGAAAGAAAAGGUGCAAAGGCAAUUCAGCUAGAAGCAUGGAGAAGAGGAUUAAACCACUACGUCCUCCAAUUAAACCUCUAUGGUUGGAAAGAAGCAAAAGUUGAGCGUUUAUAGUGGCCGAUUUCCCACAGGCUCUAUAAUAUCCGCUGUGCAAAAGAGUUUAAAAAAGAGCAAAUCCUGUAAUUGUUUACGUUAAUGUCAGGAGUCUUAAUGCUGUUCCUAACAACUGCAACGUUUUAAAGCACAUUACUGCAUGAAGUCAAUGUUUGGCAUUUGCUUCAAGCUUUCGUGACUUGACUUAGGUUGUAUAAUUAUAGAAAUUGUGAGUCAGUCUAAAACAACCAAUCGUUGGGUUACGGUCAUAGUGCCAUGACUAUUUUUGUCAGCAAAUGUCAGAUUAAUAAAAAACUUGUGCAUUUUUCCAUGUUAAUAUAUUUUCA